Panicum virgatum (switchgrass) is the source of this 1174-nucleotide long non-coding RNA. RefSeq lists it as uncharacterized. The transcript has 5 exons. The record is from RefSeq and is a predicted model, not a curated record. Lineage: Eukaryota; Viridiplantae; Streptophyta; Magnoliopsida; Poales; Poaceae.
AAUUUAUCCUACAUAAUUUAAGUGUCAGGCUCAAAAAGGAGGGAGGGAGAGGUGGAGUGGUCUGUAAUGCUUGGGACCAGUAUCUUGGGAUGGAGCAUACUGACACUGCACUCUACAUGAUCUAUACAGUGAAUCAGACUUUUUUUGGAAGGAGUGCAAUUCAUUAAUUCGAUAAUGUUUACAAUCAAGAUGUACAAACUCAUGAACACAAGCAGUAGAUUGGUCUCUCCAAACCGCAGAGUGCAUACAACCUUAUGGAAAGGUUUCAGCGGUAAGCAAAGCCGUGUUGCCGAGAUCACAGCCUCAAAGAUAAGGUGCUGGAGUUGAUGUUUCUCUUUCUAUCCUCUAGAUUUGUGUGCCUAUAAGAUAGGAGUAAGAUCAAUGAAUGAACUUGAUCAGUCCAGUUCACCUGGUCUAUUUGAUCAUCUUUUGGUGAAUGAUGACCUUGAAACUUGCUAUGAAAAAAGGUAAUUCAUGCAGAUCAUUGCUACCUUGCCUAACCUUUUUACAUUGCUAAUAUAAUUAUUAUUAUUGUUUGAGCUCAACUUCCAUUUUCUAUAUCUGAUAUAUUAUGAGCUAUAAGAAUCUGGCCUGUACUUCCAUCAUCUGGAACUAUGCAUAUCUCAGGUUCAAAUAAUGCAAAUUAGUUGUUUAGUAGUAGUUAAAAAAGUUAAUGUCUUUUUUAUUCCGGUCUCCUGAGGGGAUUUGAUUUAAUUUAAGGAGAUCUUUGGAUCUUAUCAUUUUUCUAGAUGCAUGUGGGGGUAGGCUCAUGACCAAAUGCUAAUGAGUCUUUUGUACUGAUGUAGUGAUGACGCCGAUUUCUUUAGAAAGUUGGCAAAGGGGGAAUCAGUCAUGGUGUUGCCUGGCAUUCAAAACUGGCUGCGCAUAACCUUUGCUACGGAUCCAGCAAAAUUGAAGCAAGGAAAAGGUUGAGAUGCUGGGCAGAACCCUGAUGCAUAGGAGAGCCUGGUGCUCUUCUAUGUUUUGUAAUAUUCAUUAUUCAGUAGACAUCUGAUGACUAGGAUAGCUUCAUGCUCGGAUAUGCUGGAGUAUUUAUGAUUCAAAUGCCGGAUAUAUAUCUAUAUUAACAUGAUGAUAUACUUGCUACUGGAUGUGGUAGUUUCGUAUUGUCAUGCAUAUAGUUUAAUUAAUAUUUUUUAUUGUCUUAUAAUUA